GGAAAAAGAAGCCAGUAAUUACACCUGCUAGCAUUUCCCUCUGGCCAUGGACACAAUUACCCAUCAAGGAUAAUUGACAGCAAGCUAAUCGGGGUUUCUGUGGGAUCUGCUGUUUCCAAAGCAUCUCCAGGUUUCCUUUACAUUUCGUCAGCCGUGGUUACUGGAUCCUUCGCCACACGGUGCUGGGCCACGUGAAGGAGCAACUCUAAGGAAAAUGCAACUGCUCUCUGCAUCAUCCUGCUGUAGGAAUGGCACAAGGAACACAUGUAGGCUUUAGGCUU
Molecule: long non-coding RNA, 281 nt
Filed under: Meleagris gallopavo (turkey)
Lineage: Eukaryota; Metazoa; Chordata; Aves; Galliformes; Phasianidae
Description: lncRNA (ENSMGAG00000019735.1)
Source: RNAcentral